This is a non-coding RNA of Phrynosoma platyrhinos (Desert horned lizard), 76 nucleotides long. The record is from the annotation of a GenBank genome assembly. Lineage: Eukaryota; Metazoa; Chordata; Lepidosauria; Squamata; Phrynosomatidae.
GCCAGCAUGGCAUAGUGGUUUGUGUGUUGGACUAGGACUCUGGAGACCAAGGUUCGAGUCCCACCUUGAGGUUGAG